This is a long non-coding RNA of Rhineura floridana, 2065 nucleotides long. RefSeq lists it as uncharacterized. The transcript is spliced from 3 exons. NCBI's taxonomy places the organism in Eukaryota, Metazoa, Chordata, Lepidosauria, Squamata, Rhineuridae. The record is from RefSeq and is a predicted model, not a curated record.
ACUGAGUAGGGGCUAAGAAAGCGAAAACGGAGAGCUUAAUAACGGUCCCUCUUGGGGAGAGUGUAUCUGUCAGGGGGCUUUUCUUUUCUGAGCUUUUCAUUGGAGGCGUUUGGUCAGGUAGUCACAAAGAAGCUCCGUCGGCCGGCCCCAACCCUUCAGCGGUCGUAUUUUAAGGAUAUUUUCAGCAUUUGCGUUUAAGUUUUUUUAAAAAAAAACAACCACCACCACCCAACUUUGUAAAGCGAGAGGGAUGCCUUUACUUUGUUGGACACAUCCUGGCCCUGGGAAAAGAGUCUUUGACGCUCCCGGAAAGUCAAGUUCUCUGGUGCACCAGGUCCCGAUAAGGUUCAUGUGGGCCUGCAAUUGCUCCAGUAGAUCCAGUGUAGUUUGAGCCUUAUGUAAGAGAAUGUACAAUGACAAUUGAAAGAUCUGUUUGAUGCUACAAGGAAAUAUUACUACUUUUUUUUCAAAAGUUGCAGUGCUUUUUUAGAUGGAAUAAUAAAUCUCAACCCAUGUUUUCUAAUAUUUUAAGAUAAUUCCAAGCAUAUAUUUCUUUUUGCUUACUAAAAUGAAAGGCAUGUUACUAAAAACAAAUCUUUUCAAAUGGUUUUUUCCUGUGACUUUACUUUUAAAUAUGAACAUGAUAAAACAAAAUCAUUCAUGCAGAAUGAUCAUCACAAAGAAGUGAAAGCAACUAAGAAUUCCAAAUUCAACUAUGCAAAUUCUCCCUCCAGUCUCAAGGGAGACUCGAGAUCUGGAAUUACUGCUUUUUUCAUGUAGUAACAACCCAUUGAUCAGAUUCUCCAGUGGGCACCAGGACACCCUCAAGUGGGUAUUGUCUUCCGCUGCUAGUGCUUGAGGUAGGAAAGAGUUAACACUCCAAAUGGACUGUUGCCGUGGCCCCUCCCACGGAGUGCUAGUUCAUUUUUCCUGCCUUGCUUGAGCAGUACCGUUAUUCGCCUUGCUGUUCAGUCUGGCUAGUUAUAUCCUUAUUUAAAUUUAUUUUAUUUGUUAAAAUUGUAAAUUAAUUGUGUGUGAAUGCGGGAGGUUUGUUAGACAGUUUUUCAAUGAAUUGGUGAGAGGGUUUUUGAGUGAUUGUUGAGUGUCUGUUGUUCACAGAGGAGAAUUUGUCACAUCUUUUUCUAAAAGAUUCUCUUUUAUAUGUGUUUUACAGCACUGCAACUUUAUACUUGGCUCUCACACAAUAAAAUUACUGCACAGCAGACUGAUCUUCUCCAAAGGCCACAAGACUAAACACAAUUUUACUUGAAAUAUCAACAUCGUACCCAGGUUUUAAAACAUCUCUCUCUUUUGCUGUUUAUACUGUUAAGGAAAACAGUCUUCACAACAAGUGUUGUCACAAAUCCUUGUCUGUUUUCAACUGAUAUUUUUAGUCUCUUGAUACUGCAUGUGUUGUGUCUUGUGAGCCUUGAUCUAUCCAAAAACAAAUGCAUGCUCCUUCCAAUAGUAUUUUUUGUUCAUCUACUGAACACAAUGCAAUAUUUAAUACUAUACUGAUUCUCCAGUAAUCAACCAAGAAUGCAGUCUUAUGCACAUGUACCAAAGAGUUAGCCCAACUGAAUACAGUAAGUUUUAUUUUUUAAUAAACAUGUACAGAGAAUCUACCAUGCAUAAUAAUAUUUAUAGCAAUUAUUUUGCCCUCUGUCAAAUUGUAAAGCCAAUAAUCUUUUUUUAUUUUUGAAAAAACUGAGAAAUGCAGCUUACUCAUAUUUAGCCAAAUUGAUCAAGUUUUAUUACCAAAUUUGAGUGUAUCAGUGUUUUGAAGUGGUCCUUAAUUAUCCAGUGGAAGGAGCUGAACAAUUGAGUUUUGCAGAAGAACAGUUUGCCAUAUGUUAGCGUUCAUUAAAAGACAGAAAUGUGAGUGUUAUUGAGAUGGCGAGAUGACAAAUUGUACAGUGAAUUCUGCAUUUGUGCAAAGAGCUUUGUAUUUUGUACAGGCAGUAUUGACUGAACACUCAGGAGGAAUGUAUGACCUGUUCUAUAGGCUUUUUAAAAUGUGCUGAAAUUAAAGUGAGGCAUUAUAUUAAAUAGCAUUCUUCAAUUA